Schizosaccharomyces pombe (fission yeast) is the source of this 258-nucleotide non-coding RNA. The record is from the annotation of a GenBank genome assembly. Lineage: Eukaryota; Fungi; Ascomycota; Schizosaccharomycetes; Schizosaccharomycetales; Schizosaccharomycetaceae.
CAUUUUAUGGGCUCAGCAAUUCGCCCUCUAUCGAUUUCCACGGUAACACAAUGACCACAAACUGAACAUCGAAAAAAUGCUUGCUUCAUGUCGGGUAUUACAGGUGUACACCUAAGUACCAGACCUUUAAUAGAGAUCAAUUUGUCAAUGUCACCAGGAUUAAGAUCACGCAUAUUAAUGCAUUUUUCAAGAUUAAAAGGACGAAUUUUGUAAAUUUUAAGCUCAAUGUCAUUAAGAACAUCUUCGGGAGGAUUAGUU